Molecule: ribosomal RNA, 436 nt
Filed under: uncultured Lachnospiraceae bacterium
Lineage: Bacteria; Bacillati; Bacillota; Clostridia; Lachnospirales; Lachnospiraceae
Description: bacterial SSU rRNA
Rfam family: Bacterial small subunit ribosomal RNA
Source: RNAcentral
ACGGAAGGCAGCAGUGGGGAAUAUUGGGCAAUGGGGGGAACCCUGACCCAGCAACGCCGCGUGGAGGAAGAAGGUUUUCGGAUCGUAAACUCCUGUCCUUGGUGAAGAGCAGAAGACGGUAACCAAGGAGGAAGCCCCGGCUAACUACGUGCCAGCAGCCGCGGUAAUACGUAGGGGGCAAGCGUUGUCCGGAAUGAUUGGGCGUAAAGGGCGCGUAGGCGGCCCGGUAAGUCUGGAGUGAAAGUCCUGCCUUUAAGGUGGGAAUUGCUUUGGAUACUGUCGGGCUUGAGUGCAGGAGAGGUAAGUGGAAUUCCCAGUGUAGCGGUGAAAUGCGUAGAGAUUGGGAGGAACACCAGUGGCGAAGGCGACUUACUGGACUGUAACUGACGCUGAGGCGCGAAAGUGUGGGGAGCAAACAGGAUUAGAUACCCUGGUA